UACAGAGGGGGCAAGCGUUGUUCGGAAUUACUGGGCGUAAAGAGCGCGUAGGCGGCCUGCUAAGUCGGACGUGAAAUCCCCGAGCUCAACUCGGGAACUGCGUCCGAUACUGACAGGCUUGAGUCCGGGAGAGGGAUGCGGAAUUCCAGGUGUAGCGGUGAAAUGCGUAGAUAUCUGGAGGAACACCGGUGGCGAAGGCGGCAUCCUGGACCGGCAUUGACGCUGAGGCGCGAAAGCUAGGGGAGCAAACGGG
Molecule: ribosomal RNA, 253 nt
Filed under: uncultured bacterium
Lineage: Bacteria
Description: partial 16S ribosomal RNA
Rfam family: Bacterial small subunit ribosomal RNA
Source: RNAcentral